Molecule: ribosomal RNA, 405 nt
Filed under: uncultured bacterium
Lineage: Bacteria
Description: partial 16S ribosomal RNA
Rfam family: Bacterial small subunit ribosomal RNA
Source: RNAcentral
AUUGAACGCUGGCGGCAGGCCUAACACAUGCAAGUCGAACGAGUGGCGGACGGGUGAGUAAUGUCUGGGAAACUGCCCGAUGGAGGGGAUAACUACUGGAAACGGUAGCUAAUACCGCAUACCAUCGGAUGUGCCCAGAUGGGAUUAGCUUGUAGGUGAGGUAACGGCUCACCUAGGCGACGAUCCCUAGCUGGUCUGAGAGGAUGAACAGACACACGGGAAAUGAUGCACGGUCCUGACCGCCACGGGAGUAAGCAGUGGGGAAUAUGGCACAAUGGGCGCAAGCCUGAUGCAGCCAUGCCGCGUGUAUGAAGAAGGCCUUCGGGUUGUAAAGCACUUUCAGCGGGGAGGCGUUACCCGCAGAAGAAGCACCGGCUAACUCCGUGCCAGCAGCCGCGGUAAUAC